This 253-nucleotide ribosomal RNA is filed under the name uncultured prokaryote. Its description in RNAcentral is "partial 16S ribosomal RNA". It matches the Rfam family "Bacterial small subunit ribosomal RNA", at positions 524 to 776 of the family's 1533-position model. The record is from RNAcentral.
UACGGGGGGAGCAAGCGUUGUUCGGAUUUACUGGGCGUAAAGCGCACGCAGGCGGUCUGUCAAGUCGGAUGUGAAAUCCCCGGGCUCAACCUGGGAACUGCAUUCGAAACUGGCAGGCUAGAGUCUUGUAGAGGGGGGUAGAAUUCCAGGUGUAGCGGUGAAAUGCGUAGAUAUCGAGAGGAACACCUGCGGCGAAGGCGGGUUGCUGGGCUGACACUGACGCUGAGGCGCGAAAGCUAGGGGAGCGAACGGG